Molecule: unclassified non-coding RNA, 288 nt
Filed under: Hevea brasiliensis (rubber tree)
Lineage: Eukaryota; Viridiplantae; Streptophyta; Magnoliopsida; Malpighiales; Euphorbiaceae
Source: RNAcentral
GAAAAGGAAUGCUGCAAAUCCCAGUUCUUGUGGAAGAAUUCUGUCUCCGAAUAGAGGUCCUCGAGCUUUCUUGACAGGUUUUGACUUGUCCUUGUUCUUGAGAGCAUCACCUAGUUUCUCAGUGACAACCCAUUCGUUAGCCCUCUUUGCUUCGAGCAAGCCAAUGAAUGUAGCCUUUGUUCGGUGGUAAGCCAUAACGUUCUCGAAGAGAAUCCAAUAGAACAGUAAAUGAAUUGACCUUGGCGUUCCGACAGAGUUGAGAGUAGUGAUGAUGCAAGGAAUGUAAAU